ACACGACUACAUUAGAUACCCGUGUAGUCCCAGCCCUAAACGAUGCGCGUUAGGUGUAUCGGUGACCACGAGUCACCGAGGUGCCGAAGGGAAACCGUGAAACGUGCCGCCUGGGAAGUACGGUCGCAAGGCUGAAACUUAAAGGAAUUGGCGGGGAGCACCACAACGGGUGGAGCCUGCGGUUUAAUUGGACUCAACGCCGGGAAGCUCACCGGAUAAGACAGCGGAAUGAUUGCCGGGCUGAAGACCCUGCAUGACCAGCUG
Molecule: ribosomal RNA, 264 nt
Filed under: uncultured archaeon
Lineage: Archaea
Description: partial 16S ribosomal RNA
Rfam family: Archaeal small subunit ribosomal RNA
Source: RNAcentral